GCUGUGGCUCAGUGGUAGAGCAUCGGCUUGGCAAACAAAAGGUCCCGGGUUCAAUUCCCAGCAUCUCCA
RNAcentral lists this transfer RNA (69 nucleotides) under Sphaerodactylus townsendi. RNAcentral describes it as "tRNA-Ala". It matches the Rfam family "tRNA". Rfam says of the family: Transfer RNA (tRNA) molecules are approximately 80 nucleotides in length. The record is from RNAcentral. Lineage: Eukaryota; Metazoa; Chordata; Lepidosauria; Squamata; Sphaerodactylidae.